UUUUUUUUUUCCUUUGAUCAUUUUUAAGGAAACAGAAGCCCAGACAGUUGGUGUUUAAGGCACAACAACACAAUUUAAAGAUCAAGGUUGGAAUAUCAGGGCUCUGGAUGCCACAUCUGGAGCAGAUCCACUCCAUCUGCCAUAUCCAGAAGCAUUUACAAUCUUAAACCCCAUAGAUUUCAGUGAAUUCUUGGGUCCCAAAUGGCAGGCUGUCAACUUUAUCCAUUGGUCCCCACUGUUUCUUUUUCCCUGGUUAGUGAGCAGAGUAGCCUGGCACUUCUACCCACAUGAGCUGGAGUGGGAAAAUAGCAGGGCAGAAACUAGUUAGACUGCAAUGCUCAUGUUGGAAACCCCUUGCUGAGUCAUGUUUUGCUUUCUUUGGGACUUCUGGAGCAGGAGACAGGUGAAGUCAAACACUGAUAAGAGGGAGAGCUCCUGAGAUGCUUCCUUGAAUGUUCGAUACUAAGUACAGUGUUCUUAAAAUCCACUACCUGAGAUCCACAGAGUGAAUGAAAUGGCAGAAUUUCCCCCUUGUUUAUUCUUAGAUUGAAUCCUUCAUGAGGAAGAGGAGGCCAGCCGUAGGUAUGCUUUCUAAUAGAAACUCACGUUUCCUUGAAGUUAUGUAAAAUUAAUUUGGAAACACUGAUAGCCUUGUAAUUCUGGUGAAGCUAAACACCACACAUAGCUAUGGAACUGUGAGCCAGGGCCUGCAUUUCAAUGUCAGCUGCCGUGCUUUUGAUGCCUCCUUCAAAAUUCCAUGAGUUGGUCUUGAAAGAGAAAGUGGUGUUGAACAAAGGAAAAGAAGGAAUUUCCUAUGUAGAAGCUAAAUUGGAUAUUCAAGCCUGCCUGACAGAAACAAACAAGCCCUGCUGUCACUUCAAACACAACCAAAAGCAGGUUCUGGGAGUGUAUGUACAUUCUGUACUGAAAAUGCAUGCUAAUAGUCACUUCUGUAGAGGCAGGGAGCCCACAUCCAGCCCACAGAGCCAAUUAAUGAACCUUUUUUUUGACCACAUUGUUUUGGGCUGGUUGCACUGACAAAAUGCACAUGGUGCCAGCCUUCAUGGUGACCUGAAUUCCUUUCAAUCUCCAAAAAAAUAUUCCAUGCCAUUACCACUUACAGCUGAGCUCCCAGAGGCAAACUCCUGCCAUGAGAUUUAGGGCAGAACCCAGACUCCUUGUGUCACACUAUUCCACCAGCAGGGUAAAAUAAGCAGUGUACAUGAAUUGAUAAAACACUGAGAUGUGGAAUUAUUCAAAUAUUUUUAUGAUGAUGUAAAUUUAUAGCAAGAGGUCUCUGGUAUAUUCAGUGCCCACCACAUAGCUCUGUUGCACUGCAAGAAGUUUGUGAGCAAAAGAAAACAUGCUAAAUAAUUUCUCCAGAUAUGAGGAGACAGAGCCCCUGCUUCAGUGGCCGCUUCUCAGGCGAGCAGCAGGUACUGGAUGACUUGCUAAACUUCUGUUAGGGAUUGCACAGAUGCUGUGGUACUUACCAUGCACACCCCCACCUGGUCCCAAACCAGGUAUUUGAUCGCAGAUAUGAGUUAUCAACAUUGUUGUUCUCUUAAAUUGGAAACAGAGCAUCAUAGAAGCAACUAUGAAGAAAAUACUCUAUCCCACAGUAUCAGAUCCAUCCCCCAGAAGGAUGCUGGUUAUGCAGGUGUAACUCCAAAGCUAUGUCCUGGAGGUUGUCUGCACUGUAUAGUGAGCUUGGAUGGGCUUUUUAGGGAGAAAGGGAAUUAAAUCCUGGUGCUGGCUUUGGACAGAUGCUGGCACUUCUCAGCUCUACAUGCUGAAACCUUUAUGGGGAGGCAGAUGGAUGAAGUCCUAGCCCUUUCCUUUCCCCUGGACAUGGUAGCAGCAGCCCUACCGAGGCAAAGCCAGCUGCACAAAUCACAACAAAGACCAGAAGCAAGCUACAGACCAUUAACCUGGUGCUACCCCAUAUGUCCCUGCUCUGUUUGCUUGCCAGUCACAUACAACACAUGCCUAGAUGCGCUUGGGGAAAGCACACAACACAAGGGUGGGAAGCCUGUCCAGCUGCCUAAGGAUGCACAGGCAGAGGUCAUGCCACUCCCUGAACUUUGCUUAGUGCUUUCCAAAGGACACAGGCAGAGCAGAAAUGAUUGAAUUAAAAUCUGACCAUUUACUGCCUAAAGAUGCAAAAACAGAUAAGUGAAACAGGCUUCCCACUAACAUGGGCAGUAGAAAUCUAAAAUUAGGCCAUACUUGAAGGGUAGUGAGGAGCAUGAAAAAAACUGAAAGAAUGACUUUCAUCUAAGACUAGCAUAUAAAAAUGUUUCCUAAAGUAAAUUCUUAUAGUUACUCGAGAGAUGUUUAUUCUCUGACAUUUAUCUAGAUGAGGCACUUAUUUUCAUUGUAUUUAUUUUCAGGUCUGAAGGAAAUUCAGUAUUACAGUAAAGCCUUAAACAAAGGCAGAAAGAAUCGUGUCAGUAUUUGCCAUUAUUUUUGAUAAAUUAUGAUAUAUUCAGCACUCCAAUCAGUGUGCUCAGUACUGUUAUAUUGAUUGGCAAAUCAACAGUCUGGUGAAUACGUGGUUGGAAAAUCUAACUUAUAAAUUUGGUUUCUAAGCAAUCUUUUCCAUCAUUUUUUGUCAUGGGCCUCCACAGUGUCCCUGGCACUGGCUGUAUUCCAGUUGCAAAUUGUUCCUCAUUCACAGCCGGGGUGCUUUUAGACAAUACUUUGUUGUUCCAAAAUUUGAUGUUCCCUACCAUGGUGGCCACAGAAAAGGAACUGCAGAAGGCUGCAAAUUCAUUCCAAGCUGGGUUGGAUCCAACUGCUCGAUGCAAGGGUGGAGACUCCAGCAAGUUUUAGUCAUCUUUACGAGGAAACUCAAUCAAGUAUUCCUCUAUGCUUGCGGUUAGGAUCCAAAUUCAUUUAUCUUUUCCCCCACUGAGCCCUCCCAGCAGUUCUCAUGCACAGCGCAGCGGCACUGUAAUGAGGAGGGAGGUAAAGGAGGCACCUGGAUGAAUCUUGAAUACAGGAUGGACUGAGCUGAAGCUAGGGAAGCUGCAGAAGGUAGAGAGAAGUAAUGAUACAUGCAAAAUAAAACCCAGAUGGAAUAAUCUACAUAGUAGGACUGGAAGACUGGAGAAGGAUAAAAAGCAAGUAACAAACCUGAACUCUGCUUAAAGCUUCUCAAACAGAUAAAUGAUUUUCCAAAAAGUAUUUCUGAUGUCUGACUGAAGCUCACAUAGUAGACUGGUUUCAGUCAGGGAUUUAUUUCUUGCAUCAAGAAAAGCAUGCUUGGCAGUCAGAGGGGAC
Molecule: long non-coding RNA, 3285 nt
Organism: Gallus gallus (chicken)
Lineage: Eukaryota; Metazoa; Chordata; Aves; Galliformes; Phasianidae
Source: Ensembl